This 296-nucleotide long non-coding RNA is filed under the name Mytilus galloprovincialis (Mediterranean mussel). Lineage: Eukaryota; Metazoa; Mollusca; Bivalvia; Mytilida; Mytilidae. The record is from RNAcentral.
CUCAAUUAUAGAUUUUUUUCUUGAGGAUUUUUUUGCUUAUUUAAGUUUUUAACUAUUUAUAUUUUAUAUUGUCUUAAUUAUAGAUCAUGUUUGCCGAUUAUGUUUGCUUAUUUAUGUUUCUAUCUCUGUAUCAUAAGGCCAAAAAAAAAGGGUAAAAAAACUGUCCUGAAAGUACCAUACCUAUAUAUGGGAUUUGACGGACAAAUUACGCCAUGUUAGACUUAUCUAUAGAUCUUGUCUUGCUGAUCAUUUUUGAAAUUAAAAGUUUCUCUCUAUCUACUAUAUUUUCUAGAAAU